CCUACGGGAGGCAGCAGUGAGGAAUAUUGGUCAAUGGUCGGGAGACUGAACCAGCCAAGCCGCGUGAGGGAUGAAGGUACAGAGUAUCGUAAACCUCUUUUGUCAGGGAACAAAGGCGGGGACGUGUCCCCGGAUGAGUGUACCUGAAGAAAAAGCAUCGGCUAACUCCGUGCCAGCAGCCGCGGUAAUACGGAGGAUGCGAGCGUUAUCCGGAUUUAUUGGGUUUAAAGGGUGCGCAGGCGGGCUGUUAAGUCAGCGGUCAAAGCCCGGGGCCCAACCCCGGCCCGCCGUUGAAACUGGCAGUCUAGAGUUGGAGAGAAGUAUGCGGAAUGCGCGGUGUAGCGGUGAAAUGCAUAGAUAUCGCGCAGAACUCCGAUUGCGAAGGCAGCAUGCCGGCUCCACACUGACGCUGAGGCACGAAAGCGUGGGUAUCGAACAGGAUUAGAUACCCGAGUAGUC
This 459-nucleotide ribosomal RNA is filed under the name uncultured bacterium. RNAcentral's name for it is "partial 16S ribosomal RNA". It matches the Rfam family "Bacterial small subunit ribosomal RNA", at positions 338 to 795 of the family's 1533-position model. The record is from RNAcentral.